GGCACAUCUCGAGCCCCACGCCCUGCCAUCACGCACACAAGGCUCCUCUCCCCACACUUUCGAUCUCUUCUCCCACCGUCCCACGGCGGCGGCGCUCCACUACACGUCCGCAUCCUCCCCUUCUUCUCGUCGACGUCGUUAGGUCAUGGGUGAGGAGACGACAUCCAAGAGCCAUGGCAGUGUGUGCAGACGGGGCUGCUGCGCCAGCGCUCUGCAUUUGGUGAAGGGGUGGCGUCGUGGAGCAUCGCGGAAGAAGACGCUGAGAUCAUCGUACGCGGGAGGAGCCGAAGCGGUUGGAGGCGAAGCAGAUCGCCUCGCUGGGCGGCCAGGAAAGGUGGAGUGGCUCGCCGACUCGGCUUCUGAAAAUAAGAGAUCGUCCUCACAGGUGCAGGCGGACGAGUGGAGGCGCCCGGAUGAGGCUACAGAGGACGUCGAAUUCCAAGCGCCGACGCCGCUACCGCCGCCUUAUUCUGCUGCUACCCUGAUGUAGUAUUUCCUUUUUUACUUCAUCGCUUCCACAUCGUAUGUAUGUCCCUUAGAAGGAGGAGAAAAUAUUUUACAGGGGAACACAAGAUACAUGGAGAAGGAUGCACCGCUGCUAGGAAGGUAUGAAUUCUACAUCAAGUGUAUUGACGAGGGACAAUUUAUGCUGUUUGGAGAGAUUGGAGAAGCACUUGUCAGUAAACAGGUAGGCCUUUACAUACUGCUGAAUCAUCUUGUAGUGCAGAUUUAGGAUGCAAAUCAGAAUGGCAAUGUUCCCUUUUUGUGUUUCACAUAUCUUUUAUACUACACAUUUGGGUUGCAGAUUCAAUGACAUAUCUGUGGAUAUUUACACCGAUCGACAAUCUAUGGUUCUCUAUGUGGAAUUUUUAGAUAGGUGUGAAGCAAAUGUGUUGAUUCAGGCUCUGACCUGCAUUUUGGUGGUUGCUUCCAUGACUAAUCCAGUGCAAUUUCUUAUAUACUGUAUUCCCUCUGCCCGACUACAAAAAAAUAUAGCCAUUCAUUCAUGUACACUGAGUCUAAUAGCGACUACCCAGCAAGGGUCAAUUUAUUUUGUUCCACACUGACCUUGCAAGUUAAGAACGUAGCUGAGAGUGCAUUGGCUCAAUGAAAUAGAUAUGGUGCAUGUUUACUCAAGAUUUUAAUCAUCCCGAAUUCCUUGCACUACAAUAUGCAAUGGUUAAAGCAAGACAAGUGAUGGUCUACACUUCUUGGCAGAGUUAGUAUCAUACUGGUUGCUCUAAUUUCGUUGCUUUAUUCUUUGGCUUUACUGAACUUAUUUUGUUCUCCUUUGUAGUAGCAUGAUUGGCGGCUAGAAAGAAAAUGCGCUUAAGUUAUGGUGUCUGUCGUAAGUUAUAAUAUUUUAGAGAUUGAACAACACCUGCUUCAUGUUUGUAUAGAAUGAGGACAGCAUACUUUGCAUAAAUAGGUGUAAUUUAUUACCGCUUUAGUUGGUCAGCAUUUUUUGUCUCUCCAUUGAAAGAACCCAGUGUUUCAGUUAAUAAUAGGACAUAGCCAUAUUAAUUUUUUUUAUAACAUUCAGAUUCACUAAACAAGGUUUUUUUUGUGUCGUAUUAAAAACUAGAUUAAAGAUUAGGUUAUAGAGCUUCGUGUGUCAGCUUUGUGUGUUAGGCCCAACAAUAGAACCAUUUGUUUCUCCUGCCCAAGUUUUUUAAAAUUAUUAUUACGGAAUUACUUACAAUGUCAUUCUACCAAUUGCGUAGAAAGAUGGACUUGCCUGAUAUACUGCGCAUUUUUAUGUGUAGGUGCUCUCAGAGUGUAAAGAAUUCAUGUUGAUGCAUUUAGUCCAGCAUGCAUGUCACACUCAUGGUCUUUCUUCUUACAAGUGCUUCUGGACUGCUGGUCACCGUACAUAUGCAGCUUACUGCUUUGGCAGCGACAAGAACCGUCGCUUCAAGGUUUGAGUUCUGACCUUAGACUGGCUAUUUGAAUAUUCGCUCUUCACUUAAAUCAACGCCACAAGACUCAGGCAUUUCAUUUUGUUUAUAGUCUAUAGAAGGCAUGUGAUGUGCAAAACAGGAUAUAAAUCCAGAACUGCUCAAGCCCUCAUCGUUUUAUGCCCAAAGCAAUGGAUGAUGAGAAGAAUGUUCGGAUAUUUGGAGCCACAAGGCCUAUGAAUCAACAAUAUUGGAGGAGAGCACUCCCAAGAAUACAUGGCUUUGUAGAGUCAUGAUACUACUACCUCGGGUCUACUUUAAUUGACGCGCGCACAUGCAUAAAUCCUCUGCUAGCUAGCUUUCCUCCGCGUCAAUUAUAUCCGGAUGGAGGGAGUAUCAAUUAAGAAAGACUAUUUAUCUAA
Long non-coding RNA from Lolium rigidum, 2320 nucleotides. RefSeq lists it as uncharacterized. The transcript is spliced from 5 exons. Lineage: Eukaryota; Viridiplantae; Streptophyta; Magnoliopsida; Poales; Poaceae. The record is from RefSeq and is a predicted model, not a curated record.